RNAcentral lists this ribosomal RNA (252 nucleotides) under uncultured bacterium. RNAcentral's name for it is "partial 16S ribosomal RNA". It matches the Rfam family "Bacterial small subunit ribosomal RNA", at positions 524 to 776 of the family's 1533-position model. The record is from RNAcentral.
UACGUAGGUGGCAAGCGUUGUCCGGAAUUACUGGGUGUAAAGGGAGCGUAGGCGGGUGCGCAAGUUGAAUGUUUAAACUAUCGGCUCAACCGAUAAUCGCGUUCAAAACUGCGUAUCUUGAGUGAAGUAGAGGCAGGCGGAAUUCCUAGUGUAGCGGUGAAAUGCGUAGAUAUUAGGAGGAACACCAGUGGCGAAGGCGGCCUGCUGGGCUUUUACUGACGCUGAGGCUCGAAAGCAUGGGGAGCAAACAGG